UAGGGAAUCUUCGGCAAUGGGGGGAACCCUGACCGAGCAACGCCGCGUGAGUGAAGAAGGUUUUCGGAUCGUAAAGCUCUGUUGUUAAGGAAGAACGAGUGUGAGAAUGGAAAGUUCAUACUGUGACGGUACUUAACCAGAAAGGGACGGCUAACUACGUGCCAGCAGCCGCGGUAAUACGUAGGUCCCGAGCGUUGUCCGGAUUUAUUGGGCGUAAAGCGAGCGCAGGCGGUUAGAUAAGUCUGAAGUUAAAGGCAGUGGCUCAACCAUUGUAGGCUUUGGAAACUGUUUAACUUGAGUGCGGAAGGGGAGAGUGGAAUUCCAUGUGUAGCGGUGAAAUGCGUAGAUAUAUGGAGGAACACCGGUGGCGAAAGCGGCUCUCUGGUCUGUAACUGACGCUGGGGCUCGAAAGCGUGGGGAGCGAACAGG
Molecule: ribosomal RNA, 429 nt
Filed under: Bacteroidota bacterium
Lineage: Bacteria; Pseudomonadati; Bacteroidota
Description: Bacteroidetes bacterium partial 16S ribosomal RNA
Rfam family: Bacterial small subunit ribosomal RNA
Source: RNAcentral